Molecule: non-coding RNA, 2105 nt
Organism: Myodes glareolus (Bank vole)
Lineage: Eukaryota; Metazoa; Chordata; Mammalia; Rodentia; Cricetidae
Source: RefSeq, a predicted model, not a curated record
CACUUAUGUCACUGACACACUUAUUUCACUGACACACUUAUGUCACUGACACACUUAUUUCACUGACACACUUAUGUCACUGACACACUCAGGCAGCCCUUUACAUGUUCUUUCUACCGAGGACCAUGAUCGAGUCCUGCAAGAAAACUCAUCGUCCCUCGGUCCAGGUCCCCUCCGCUAGUUAACUUAGGUGGCUCUCACCGCGGCAUUUCUUCAAGUGCAACCUUGGGUCAGUCUUCUCAUCAACAAUUUCUUCUUUCUCUUCUUUCUCUUCGUGUGCAGCUCAUGAGGGAGAUAUUGUCGGACAUUUCUCAGUACUGGAUCACUUUAGUGUUUGCCGUGCUGUGUGGUGGAACUGCUUCCAUACUGCUGUGUGGUGGGACUGCUUCCAUACUGUCGGCUGUUAACCCCCACCCCUCCGCUUUGUUCUGUAGCUUUCCCAUCCGUAUCUCCUCUGUUGGGUCCCAGACCUAAAAUUCCAGUGCUGACUGAUCUCUCCCCCAAGUGUUAAGUGUCUAUUGGAACUUAAGUGUCUGCUCCAAAGUGUGUUCCCAUUCCUUAGUCCCCACUUUGAAUGUCUCUGGGCUUCUUCAGUCUGGGCUUCUCUCUUCAUUACAUUCUGCCCUCCAAAUUGUCACAUGCCAUUCUCUGAGGAGAUGCUCAUCCUCCCAGCCUGAAAUCUUAUCGUCCUGUUGGCCUCCUUUCUCAUGUCCCAGAUCUAGGCAGGCAUCAGUUUCUUUCCGUUCCCAUUGCCAACACCUUACUGCAUAGACCAUAUCACUCUCGCUUCAAGUACCACAUUAGUUUCCGAAUCAUCAUUGACUUCCUCUUUUAAAAUAGCUAAUCUGCUCUUCCAGGUUAAUUGCAAAGCCAUGCUAAGCUUUGUUGACUGUACUGAAGUCAGAAAGCCAGGGCAGGAAGUGACCUAUCAGGAGAUCAGGAAGGCCAAGGCGGGAGAUGACCUAUAGGGAGAUCAGGAAGGCCAGGGAGGAAAGGUGACCUAUAGGGAGAUCAGGAAGGCCAGGGAGGAAAGGUGACCUAUAGGGAGAUCAGGGAGGGAGAUGGUCUAUUGGGAGAACAGGGAUGCUGAUUCUAAUACUACUUGGUUCAUCUAACAGAUACCCAGUGAACGUGUAGGCAGGGAAACAGGUUCUGGCGGACUUGCCUUUUGCCAUCUGCCUCCUCAGUCACCAUCCCUUUACGUCCUUGAUUUCUUCUGAGACCUCCAGUCUAAAGCCCAGCCCCAUCCGCUUCUGUCUUCAUCCCCUCCUUCCUGGUGGAUCUUUCUAUGGGCUCUGCUUGAGUUCUGUGCUCCCCAGACUCCCUUUUCUCUUCUUGCUAGCUAAGGGUCUGGAGAGGAAUAGGGUGGCUUGGAUGAAGUGUGUCCCAUAGGCUCAUGACUCAACACACUCAGUCCUAGUUGAUAGUGUAGUUUGGGGACGUUUGGCAACUUUUAGUUGGUAGAGCUUCCCUGGAGAAAAUGGUCCAUCGGGGCGGGGUGGGGCAAGGCGGCAUGUGGCAGGGCAGGGUGCUUCGAGGUUUUAUAGCUGGCCCACUUCCACCAUGUUCUCUGCUUCUUGAUUUGCCCAGAUGUGAGCAAGCAGCCUGCAUCCCUACCCGGGCAGAGAGCCACUAGGCUGCCGUAUUUCCCCACCACGAUGGACUGCCUCUCAAACUGUGAGCCCAAGCAAAUGCUUGCUUCCCGUGCGCUUGCCACCGUGAGAAAGGAAUCUUCCAUUCAUGGAGUCCUUGCUGUGUGCUACCCAUAUGUGCUGGAGAGACUUUUGUCAGCGUGACACAAACUGGGUCAUCUGGGAAGAGAGACCCUCAGCUGAGAAAAUGCCUCCACCACACUGGCCUGUAGGAUUUUACUUUGCAGACGAGCCUGGCCUGGAACUCACUCUGUAGACCAGCCUGACCCGGAUGAGACCCCUCUUCCUCUGACUCACAAGUGCCAGGAUUAAAGAGACGCACCUCCAUAUCUGGCCUUUACUUUUUGUCUUGUUCCAAAGAAUGUUUCUUUGUAUGAGUGCAUCACAGUUUAUUCAUGAAAAGCGCUAAGAUUUUAAUAAAAUUCUACUACAUAAAAUCAAUAUUUAAAUUGU